This 135-nucleotide ribosomal RNA is filed under the name Ciborinia erythronii. RNAcentral describes it as "partial ribosomal RNA". Lineage: Eukaryota; Fungi; Ascomycota; Leotiomycetes; Helotiales; Sclerotiniaceae. The record is from RNAcentral.
AGCUCGCGCCCGAGAGGGACCUCCCACCCUUGCGUAUCAUUACUUUGUUGCUUUGGCGCGCGCCCCCCGGGCCACGCGCGCCAGAGGUGAAUCAAACUCUUUUGUACAUGUCGUCUGAGCACUAUUUAAUAGUUA